GGAGUUAGGAAAUGUAAGUGCGCUAAUAUCGCAUUUAUUUGACGAAGGCUCCAAAGGAAGUCACGGCUAACUCUGUGCCAGCAGCCGCGGUAAUACAGAGGUGGCAAGCGUUGUUCGGAAUUAUUGGGCGUAAAGAGCACGUAGGUGGGUUUGUAAGUCAGAUGUGAAAGCCUUCUGUUCAACGGAAGAAUUGCAUCUGAAACUGCGAGUCUUGAGCGUAGGAGGGGAGAGUGGAACUUCUG
Molecule: ribosomal RNA, 242 nt
Filed under: uncultured Planctomycetales bacterium
Lineage: Bacteria; Pseudomonadati; Planctomycetota; Planctomycetia; Planctomycetales
Description: partial 16S ribosomal RNA
Rfam family: Bacterial small subunit ribosomal RNA
Source: RNAcentral